GAAAAUAAACCAAACCAGCACCAGUGCUUUAUCUUUGUUUCCACUUUUCUGCAUUUAAGCAUUUUUCCACAGGAACAAUCUAACUUUCCCAUUCAGGAAGGUCCCCGGUGGCGAAGUGGUCGUGAUGGUUAGCAGCACUUUCCGGGGGUGGGACAAUUCUCUGGUGCAGACUGGCUGUUCCCCUCCAUGCACAACGGCACUCUGAAGUCCCGAAGGUGCGAAGGUGUGCUGUCAGAACCCACCUGCGCCACCUGAGAGCCGGAGGGUGAGCAACAGACGACUCUUGAGCAAGAGAAGGAAGCUCUGGGCAUGGGCCCUCAUCGUGCCUCCCCCGUGACUCACCGACAGACACCUCCGAACACGGCUGC
This is a long non-coding RNA of Lemur catta (Ring-tailed lemur), 368 nucleotides long. RefSeq lists it as uncharacterized. Lineage: Eukaryota; Metazoa; Chordata; Mammalia; Primates; Lemuridae. The record is from RefSeq and is a predicted model, not a curated record. The transcript is spliced from 3 exons.